AAAUUCAGAGUUUACCCACCUCUAAUUUUACCACUACAGCACUGGGCAAGGGCUUGUGGUUCCCAGUUUACAAAAGCAUUUUUAUUCAAUAAAUGUACAUUACCAUAAAAUCUAACAUUCAUCACAAAAUAAGAAAACUAAUCGCUAAAGCCUUACGGUGAGAAGGGCCGGUGAAGGGGAAGGAAAAUUAAUAAAACGAACUUAGAGAAAACAAACCAGAGUUCACCCAGUAAAAGCACAAAAAUCCAAUGGGACACGACACACGAGGAAGACCACAACCACCCACGCCACCGGCGCCACCACCAGCCUACAGCCGGUAGGAAGGAUAACCCAAAAAAAGAAGGUUACAAGAGAAUUAAACCAAAAAUGUACAAUUAUGCAAACUAGAUCAAACUAUGCACUUAGCAGCAUUUAACAGUGCAGACAGUUACAGACAAAGUUGCAUUUAGCAGCAGGCAAAGCAGCAGUCAAAGCAGCAGUGGUCCCAAUCAACUGAUGAGAGGGAGGGAGAGAAAGACCCACACGGCAGGAAGACAUCUACCUGUGACCACACUAACAUUAGCUACAGAAUAUUGUUCGGUCUAGCGCGGAGAGAGAGGACACUUACCACCGAAAUCACAUGGCCCAAGUAAAGGACCUCCUUCUGAAAGAAUGAACAUUUACUUAGCUUGGCCUUGAGGCCCUCGGUUUCAAGUCGGCUUAGCACUACUUCUAACCGCUCCAAGUGCUGUUGAAGAAAACACGACGAUAUCAUCAAGGUAUAACAACAGAGACUGGCACUGCCGAUCCCCGAAAAUACGCUGCAUUAGUCUCUGAAAAGUACUGGGGGCAUUACAGAGCCCAAAGGCAUCCGGUUCCAUUCAAAUGGCGUACAAAAAGCAGUCUUUGCCCAAUCUAAUUCGGCAACUGGUACCUGGUUAUAACCACUGGCCAGGUCCAGGGUAGAGAACCAGCAGGCACCAGAUCCAGGGACUCCUCUAUGCGUGGUAGAGGAAAGGCAUCUUUCCUGGUUUUACCAUUUAGCUGUCUGUAGUCAACGCACAUGCGCAGACUACCAUCCUUU
Gasterosteus aculeatus aculeatus (three-spined stickleback) is the source of this 1063-nucleotide long non-coding RNA. Lineage: Eukaryota; Metazoa; Chordata; Actinopteri; Perciformes; Gasterosteidae. The record is from Ensembl.